GUCUCCGUGGCGCAAUCGGUUAGCGCGUCUGACUGUUAUGAAACAGUUCAAUCAGGAGGUUGACAGUUCGAUCCUGUCCGGGGACG
RNAcentral lists this transfer RNA (86 nucleotides) under Aspergillus egyptiacus. RNAcentral describes it as "tRNA-Asn". It matches the Rfam family "tRNA". Rfam says of the family: Transfer RNA (tRNA) molecules are approximately 80 nucleotides in length. Their secondary structure includes four short double-helical elements and three loops (D, anti-codon, and T loops). Lineage: Eukaryota; Fungi; Ascomycota; Eurotiomycetes; Eurotiales; Aspergillaceae. The record is from RNAcentral.